ACCGGAAAACUCACAGUUCCGGCGAAACCCCGACAAACCCAGUUGAAGUUUCACGGCGGAGAAGAAGUGAAGGUGAGAAAGGAGAGAACUUGAGUUGAAGGGUUGACGUGCAUUGCAGGGAAUGGCAAAAGGGUAUCAUCAGAAGCUUUGGAUGGAGGAUCUUGCACGCCACACAUGCCUCCAAAGAUCCUCCUUCCUUUUGGAAAAUUCCCACCUUGCCUUAUGCGAUAUAAAAGGAUUCUAGCUUUUUUCUGGGAUUCAUCAUGCCUUCUGAGACAAUGGACUUCAAUGGUUUGUCUCCAUCGUUGUAUUCCUCCCGAGAUAUUUUUUCAUCUACCGAGAGGCAGGCUGGAUUCUGGAAAUCAGAUAACCUGCCCAAAUGCUAUGAUUCUGAUCAGAGAAUAAAACCUAGCUUGAAUGUACAAGAAGCAUCCGAUUCUUCAGAUAGCCAUGAGGUUGAUAUAAUUGCCACUCAGUAUGAACGUAACCUCUUCUCAAGUUCCCUGUCAGAGUUGUUUACCAAGAAAUUGAGAUUAUCUGCAAAUAAUGCUUUAUAUGGACAUUCAGUUGAUAAUGUUACAUCCCACUAUGAGGAUGAGAGGCUUUCUGACUCUAUUGAAGAACUUGAGGCUCAAAUUAUUGGAAAUCUACUCCCCAAUGAUGAUGAUUUGCUUUCGGGAAUGUGUGAUGAUCAUGGUCUCAUCACCCAAGGCAGCACUGGUGAUGACAUGGAUGAAGUAGACCUUUUCAGUAGUGUUGGAGGGAUGGAAUUGGGAGAAGAUGAUAACUCAUCUUCUAGACAAAAGAAUUCUGAAAUCUUUGGUGGAGCUUUUAACAGUAAACUAGGGCUGUGCAAUUCUUCAAUUGCUGGUGAACACCCGACUAGAACAUUAUUUGCGAGAAAUAUUAAUAGUUUCCAGACAAGCCAAUCUGGAAACUCAAAAACGCGUAUGAUUCAACAGAUCCCUUCAGAAUUAGAACAAAAAAACUGUAACCUUUUUCUGAAUCAGAACUUCCCUCCUUCGAAAUCGCCAACUAACUUCCCAGGCUUGCAUGGAUCUGGUAGCAUGGAUGGUGGAACAAUUCUAGGUGUUGAUCCUACAAUAUGCACACCAUCCACAAAUACUGCUUUUAGACAUGAGGUCUCUUCAAGCGUUCCUAAUACCUCACCAUCCCUUGUGAGACUUAAAUCAGUUCGAAACCAAUGUGAAAUCACUGAAUCUGGUUCUCCUGGCCAGUUGAAUUUUGGUAUUCAAGCUGCAUCAGCUUUUCAUCCUCAUUCACAUCCAGAAUGUCAUGGUGGUUUAGCUAAUGGUGUUCACCGUAAUCCUCGUGGGGUAGAAAACAUCAAUCUCAAUACACAUGAAAGAAAAGAUAACAUGCAGUUCUCUCCAGGAAACUCAAGUGGAGGCUUCAUGGAACUCAAUGAAUGUGUUUUAAGAUCCUCUGGUAAUGGAAGCUGCCCUCUUCCUGCUCAUCAUUACAAAUGGAGCAACUGUCAGCCUCAUGGAAUGAUGUGGCCAAAUUCACCAUCGUAUUUGGAUGGGAUUUGUGUGGCCCCUGCUGUGCAAAGAUUGCAUGCACUCCCUAGGUCACCAUCACAUAUGAUGAACACUGUUUUACCCAUAAAUAACCAGCAUCUGCGAUCAGCUUCUCUUUGGGACAAAAGACAUGCCUAUGCAGUGGAAUCUCCUGAAGCUUCUGCCUUCCAUCCAGGAUCUCUUGGGGAUAUGCGAUUUUCCAGUAAUACAGCAGCAUAUUGUGUUGACUUUGUUCCUCAUCCCAUCUUUCCCCAUUUUGGGGGAAGCAUUGUUGACCUUCAAAUCCUCCCUAAGAAUCAUGGACUCCAUUUCCAUGACCAAGGGGACCUGAUUUUUCCUGGAAGAAACCACAUGAAUAAUUCAUUUGAUACUUACAAACAGCGUGCGAGAAGCCGUAGAAACAGUGUUUCAAGCUUGGCUGACAUGAAACAAUAUGAUCUUGACAUUGACCACAUAAGAAGGGGGGAGGAUACCCGCACAACACUUAUGAUAAAGAACAUUCCUAACAAGUAUACUUCCAAGAUGCUGCUGGCUGCAAUCGAUGAAUGCCAUAAAGGAACUUAUGAUUUUGUGUAUCUACCAAUUGAUUUCAAAAACAAAUGCAAUGUUGGAUAUGCAUUCAUCAACAUGACUAAUCCCAGCUUGAUUAUACCAUUCUAUCAGGUGUUCAAUGGAAAGAAAUGGGAGAAAUUUAACAGCGAGAAAGUGGCAUCACUAGCAUAUGCUCGCAUACAAGGGAGAGCAGCACUUAUUGCUCACUUCCAAAAUUCAAGCUUGAUGAAUGAGGAUAAGCGCUGCAGGCCCAUCCUGUUCAAUGCUGAUGGCCCUAAUGCUGGUGAUCAGGUUCCUUUCCCAAUGGGAGUUAAUGUUCGCAACAAAUUUGGAAGAGCGAGAAACAACACUCAUGAGGAUAACUUACAAGGGAGCUCUUCUAGUUUUUGAAACUGCCAGCCCCCAUCUGGUGGAGACAGUAUUUCAAAGGAAGCAGACUAAGGAAGUCACAUUUUGUUUCUUCUGCCAUCUCAUCAACUUUAGUGGGCACUAAACUUUAUGAAUCCAAGUAACUUGGUCACAUUAAUGAAGCUGCUCAUAUGAGGAGUAUGCAGUUUAACUGGCGUGGUUCCUACGAGGUCAUAUUUAUAAUGUUUUUCACGUCAUCGAGAGCUUCGCGAAAUGUGCAUGAAGUUGUCUAGCAUUUCUGACAGCACAAAUAUGAAAUUGUGAAGAGGUUUCAAGAGAGGAAGCACAUUUGUGCUAUUGGAAUUGUUGUUGCUAAUGCAGCAAAUGGUGCCUCUAAUAUUGUUUUGACUGAACCUGGAUUCAGUGCCUGUAAGUGGCUCUAAUAAAUUAGUCAACUGAGUUUUUAGCUAUUGCUUGCUUUUAGCCAAUAUGAUGAUGCUGUUGACCUAUUGUAGGUAAAUAGUAUACAUUAUACUACAUCUGUUCCUAUUCAUCUGUCACAGUUUUGAGAGAUUUUUUUAUUCCUAUUUAUCUAUCACUUUCAAAAUUUCAAGUGGGCGUUAAUUAUGUUUUACCAGUCAUACUCUUAACUUAAAAUAUCUGUAUUUUUUACUCCACACCCGAACUAGAUUUUCAUGUCCACAACUUGGUUCAAGCCAAGCUUUAGAGCCCUCCUGCUAUGUAAGUGGUUGCUUUGAAUAACAACUUUCUAUUUCCAAUUAAAAAACAAAAAAGAGGAAAUGACAAUGUCAGAGAUAACCUAAGCAUACAACAAUA
Lotus japonicus is the source of this 3278-nucleotide RNA transcript. It is a transcript of the gene named protein MEI2-like 4, with no coding region annotated. NCBI's taxonomy places the organism in Eukaryota, Viridiplantae, Streptophyta, Magnoliopsida, Fabales, Fabaceae. The transcript has 15 exons. The record is from RefSeq and is a predicted model, not a curated record.